Molecule: ribosomal RNA, 404 nt
Filed under: Actinomycetes bacterium
Lineage: Bacteria; Bacillati; Actinomycetota; Actinomycetes
Description: Actinobacteria bacterium partial 16S ribosomal RNA
Rfam family: Bacterial small subunit ribosomal RNA
Source: RNAcentral
UGGGGAAUAUUGGACAAUGGGCGCAAGCCUGAUCCAGCCAUGCCGCGUGAGUGAUGAAGGCUCUAGGGUUGUAAAGCUCUUUCACCGGUGAAGAUAAUGACGGUAACCGGAGAAGAAGCCCCGGCCAACUUCGUGCCAGCAGCCGCGGUAAUACGAAGGGGGCUAGCGUUGUUCGGAUUUACUGGGCGUAAAGCGCACGUAGGCGGACUUUUAAGUCAGGGGUGAAAUCCCGGGGCUCAACCCCGGAACUGCCUUUGAUACUGGAAGUCUUGAGUAUGGUAGAGGUGAGUGGAAUUCCGAGUGUAGAGGUGAAAUUCGUAGAUAUUCGGGGGAACACCAGUGGCGAAGGCGGCUCACUGGACCAUUACUGACGCUGAGGUGCGAAAGCGUGGGGAGCAAACAGG